AUGCUCACUUUGACAGCACAUAUAGUAAAAAGGAAUCAUUCAGAGAAGAUUAGCAUGGCCCCUGAGGAAGGGUGACAUGCAAAUCCAUGAAGCGUUCCAUAUUUUU
This is a small nuclear RNA of Pteronotus mesoamericanus, 106 nucleotides long. Lineage: Eukaryota; Metazoa; Chordata; Mammalia; Chiroptera; Mormoopidae. The record is from RefSeq and is a predicted model, not a curated record.